Solanum stenotomum is the source of this 443-nucleotide long non-coding RNA. RefSeq lists it as uncharacterized. The record is from RefSeq and is a predicted model, not a curated record. The transcript is spliced from 2 exons. Lineage: Eukaryota; Viridiplantae; Streptophyta; Magnoliopsida; Solanales; Solanaceae.
CCCAUUGUCAAAGUUCUCUUAGCUACUUGGCUCACUGUGUUCUUAACUGCAUUCCUCAAGUUCUCCUCCAAAUGCCUUAAGUCGAUAGCUUGGCAAAGCGCAACGAGAUAGGUUGAUGACAUUAGCUUCAAGAUGUCCACAGCCUCAGCAGUUUUCCUUGCUGAGAUUAAGCCCAAGGAAUUCACAUCUUGGUUGUGUUGCUCAGCACUUUGGACAUGGUUAGUCACUGGAUUUGCCAAGAAUUGAAGCUCCGAGCAGUAAGAAGCCAUCGCGAUUUCAGCUCCUUUGAAACCAUAGUCCAAGCUUGGAUUCCUUCCUGCUGUGAGAUUAGAUGGCAAUCCAUUGUUGUAAUAGUCGUUGACAAGCUCCGAAAAUUGGGCAAACAUCAAUUUUCCAAUUGAUGCAAGGGCCAAUCUUGUAUUAUCCAUGGACACACCAAUAGG